AUAUUUAUGUAUAUAUAUAUUCGUGCGUGCAUGUGUGUGCAUGCAUAUAUGCUUGUACAUAUAUGUAUGUAUAUCCAUAUCUAUGUAUUUAUGGAGACUGCACACUUUUAUUUUAAUUUUUGUUUUUCUCAAUUGAUGCAACCACACAAACCUAAACCAGUGUGUUAUUAUUUGAAAUAUGUCGCUAUUUUGCCAUCACCACCACCACCACCACCACCACUACUACUACUAUUACUACUAAUGCUAUUAUUAUUACUACCACCACUACCACUAAUAUCACUGCAACUACUGUUGUUUUUAACGUUGUUGUUAUCACUGCCUGCCAUAUUAUUAUUACCAUUAUUUUUAUUAUUAUUAUUAUUAUUAUUAUUUACCAAAGUCAGGGUUGCUAACACCUGUGAAAUUCUGCACCACCAUAUAACUACCACCAUCCAUUCUUUGUGUUGCUAAUGUACCUGAAAAGGUUCGCUACUGUCAGAGUGGUGUCAGCGAAACGUGUAGCCACUGUUGUUGCUAACCGAAAGCAACACAGCUGGCGUUGCUAAUGCUAGUUGCCAUUCUGGAAUCGGUUACAAAUACUGUUGCUAACGAUUCUGUACAGUUGUGAGAGCAGCAAACCUUGUUAAUGCUUGUUACUGCUCAUUUAUAAGAUAGCUGUUUGUGCUAUUGACAGUGUACAAUUGUGAGAAUAGGUUGUUGUUGCUAAUGCUAGUUACCAUUUAAGACUGCGAAUGCUGUUGCUAAAAGUUUUGCAGCUGAAUCGUUAUUGGUAAUGACCAUUAUAAAACAACAGCUCAGUUGAUGUUGGAAAUGCUAGCUGCCAUUAUAAAAUGAUUGCAAAUGCUGUUGGCAUUGCUAAUGGUAUUUGCCAUUAUAAAAUUGGCUGCAGAUACUGUUGCUAACAGUUGUGGGAACAACGGCUGUUUUUAAAGCAAACGACUGUUCUCAAACAGCUGCUAAUGCUGUUGCUAACGACAGUUUGCAACUUUGAGAGCAACUCGACUGUUGUUGCUAACAAAUGUUGUCAUUCUAAAAUGGCUGCAAGCACAUUUGGCGUCGCUAAUGCAAGGAUGGAAAGCACAGUUGUGAGUUAGCAUCAACAGCUACAGUUUCCUGAUAGCUGCUCAGCUCCCCCCCCCCCCCACUACCAGCCCCGUUGCAAGCAGUGUUGCAAGACUGCAAGAGAGUGCCACCACCGUUUGGUAAAUGCUGGAGAUUUCCAUGGUUUAGUGAUCUUGCAAUUUCCGAGUCUCAAUGCAGCUCUGCAAUUGAAGAGACGCUCUUUCUUUAUCAGCUGCAGUCAAACAGCUUUGCAUCAGUUGCAACAAUCACAUGAGGUGCAGUAGCAUUGUUACUGCACUCAGGUGAACCAUGGGGCCAUAAAGCUGGAAACGCAGGCUGGUGUGUGCUGCCAGCCAGAAACGCCUGUUCCUGAUGCACCCUAAUGCACAAUGUUGUCUCCGUCACUGAGAGCAGCAUGUAUUUUUAGUUGCACUACUUUCGCUUCUUCUAAGGUUGGGCAUCUCUCCAAAACUGUUGUGAGUCGACUUGCAACAUGGCAUGGAUCACACAACAUCAAACAUCUUUUUCUAUCAAUUUGUAACAUUUAUUAUUUUUCCGUUUUAUAUACACACACACACACACACACAAUAUUUUAUACAUCCAGACAUCUAUAUUUUUUUUUUUGUAGAUUUUAAAAUUCUUAUUUCAUUUUAAACUUGUUUUCAUGUCAAAAUUUAUAUAAUUGACUCUGAGUGUGUGUGUACCAUUGCUCCACUAAUAUAUGUGUACAUAAAGAUAUAAUAUAUAUAUAUAUAUAAAAUCAAAAUAAGCAACAAGUAUAUCCAAGGUAAUGUGGUGUGAUUGUUUCAUGCUGCUUCAUUUUAUUAAACACUGUAAGUAUUACAUCAGUUUUUAAAUGUUGAGCAAUCUUCGGCCACUUAUAGCUCGACAUUUUAAAACUGAUGUAAUACUUACAUUGCUUAAUAAGAUGAAGUAGCGUGAAAUGAUCAUACCACAUGACCUCAGAUAUCCUUGUUGCUUAUUUUGAUUAUAAUCACCCCAUGGAUUUAUAUGGAUAAUACCAUACAAAAUUCUGGUGCAUUUGACUUAAGUACCAUAUUCAUCUGAAUCUGUAUAUAUAUAGGUAUAUAUACAUAUAUAUAACAUACACACAUACAUAUAUAUAUAUGAUCAUACAUACUCAUAAACACACACAUAUGUACAUCAUUUUAUGACCGUUAUAUGUUUAUAAUGUUACACGUUCAAAUGAAACCUCUCUAGAAUUGGAGAAUACUAAUUAAUACUCACACGAGAAAUAUACGAUUCAGUCCCUGAUUGGCUGAUAUUAUUUUGCCAUUUUUCUACUUCUUGAUAUCACCAUGUUUGUCUGAUUUCUAUACAUAUGUGUGUAUGGCUGUUUGAGCACAUAUAUAUACAUAUAUAUAUAUAUAUAUAUAUAUAUAUAUAUAUAUAUAUAUAUAUAUAUAUAUAUAUAUAUAUAUAAUGUAUGGAUAAUAUAUGUAUAUAUAUAUAUAUAUAUUGAUUUUUAUCUAGUGUGUGUCCGUGUGUCCAUUGUUUUUGUUUUUUUUUUCUUUUUGAUUAAUGAAUGACAUAAGUUAAAAAUUACACUACACUCUGUGUAUUGAGUCCUUUACUGUAUGACUGAUCUUAAUCUUCAGAUUAAGAUAUUUACGCAUGCACUCUGUGUGAGUGUGUGUGCGCAUGCGUAUGUAUAUAUAUAUAUAUAGUAUGGAUAUAUAUGCAUAUAUAUAUAUAUAUAUAUAUAUAUAUAUAUAUAACAUGUAUACAUAUGUGUGUGUGUGUGCACAUGCGUGUGUGUAUAUAUAUAUAUAUAGUAUGGAUAUAUAUGCAUAUAUAUAUAACAUGUAUGCAUAUGUGUGUGUGUGCGCAUAUAUAUAUAUGCAUUUAUAAGCACACACAUGCGUAUGUAUGUAUGUAUGUUUAUAAUGACUUUGUGUGAACGCUGUGUGUGUCUGUGUGUGUUGAUAACCAUUUACACACUCUACACACCUAUAUAUAUAUUUACUCACACAUGCACACAAUACCUGCCUGAAUUCCCAUUGUAUUGUGUGACCACCACCCCUCCAAAAAAAAAAUAAAACCACAACAAACUCCCCCCCCCCUUUCACAAUUUCUGAAAAUGAUGAAGACAAGGCAAUUUAUUUGACUUUGUUUCCCUUUUUUUUUAAUGGUUUUUUUCUCUGCUUUUCUUCUUUUGUUGUAUUUCUAUUUAUUUAACCAAUUCUGUGGUAUUUGUUUCCUUUUUUUUUUCGUUUGUUUGUUUGUCCUUUUUUUUUUUUCUAACUUCAUUAAAAACGCCCUCCCCCCUUCCCUCCCACCCACUAAAUCUGCCUCUACAACCUUGAGGUAACAAGCUCUUUGCCCUCACCCAAUCUUUCACCCCCACCACCAAAAAAAAAAAAUCACCAAAUUUAACCUUCUAUAUGAAAUAUGAAAUACUGGAGACAAACUCCAAAAUUUUGCUUUGAUUACGCUCCCCCACCCCUGUUUAUACUACAAGUAUUAACCCUAAGAGUUUGUUUGUUUGUUGUUUAUAUUUAUUUUCUGU
RNAcentral lists this long non-coding RNA (3592 nucleotides) under Octopus vulgaris (common octopus). The record is from RNAcentral. Lineage: Eukaryota; Metazoa; Mollusca; Cephalopoda; Octopoda; Octopodidae.